AUGUCUCAGUACAAGCCNNAUUAAGGUGAAACCGCGAAAGGCUCAUUNAAUCAGUUAUGGUUCCUUAGAUCGUACCCACACUUACUUGGAUAACUGUGGUAAUUCUAGAGCUAAUACAUGCAAACAGAGCUCCGACCGGAGACGGAAGGAGCGCUUUUAUUAGAUCAAAACCAAUCGGUGGCGGGCUCGCUCGUCAUCGUAUAACUUGGUGACUCUGAAUAACUUUAAGCUGAUCGCACGGUCUAGCACCGGCGACGCAUCUUUCAAAUGUCUGCCUUAUCAACUGUCGAUGGUAGGUUCUGCGCCUACCAUGGUCGUAACGGGUAACGGGGAAUCAGGGUUCGAUUCCGGAGAGGGAGCCUGAGAAACGGCUACCACAUCCAAGGAAGGCAGCAGGCGCGCAAAUUACCCACUCCCGGCACGGGGAGGUAGUGACGAAAAAUAACGAUACGGGACUCAUCCGAGGCCCCGUAAUCGGAAUGAGUACACUCUAAACCCUUUAACGAGGAUCAAUUGGAGGGCAAGUCUGGUGCCAGCAGCCGCGGUAAUUCCAGCUCCAAUAGCGUAUAUUAAAGUUGUUGCGGUUAAAAAGCU
Molecule: ribosomal RNA, 594 nt
Filed under: Apopylus cf. unumgarensis COL1681
Lineage: Eukaryota; Metazoa; Arthropoda; Insecta; Coleoptera; Cleridae
Description: SSU rRNA
Rfam family: Eukaryotic small subunit ribosomal RNA
Source: RNAcentral